Molecule: ribosomal RNA, 445 nt
Filed under: uncultured bacterium
Lineage: Bacteria
Description: partial 16S ribosomal RNA
Rfam family: Bacterial small subunit ribosomal RNA
Source: RNAcentral
GUGAGGAAUAUUGGUCAAUGGGCGCAAGCCUGAACCAGCCAUGCCGCGUGCAGGAAGACGGUCCUAUGGAUUGUAAACUGCUUUUAUUUGGGAAUAAACCUCCUUACGUGUAGGGAGCUGAAGGUACCAAAUGAAUAAGCACCGGCUAACUCCGUGCCAGCAGCCACGGUAAUACGGAGGGUGCAAGCGUUAUCCGGAAUCAUUGGGUUUAAAGGGUCCGCAGGCGGUCAUAUAAGUCAGUGGUGAAAGCCUACAGCUCAACUGUAGAACUGCCAUUGAUACUGUAUGACUUGAAUUCGAUCGAAGUGGGCGGAAUGUGACAUGUAGCGGUGAAAUGCUUAGAUAUGUCACAGAACACCGAUAGCGAAGGCAGCUCACUAGGUCUGGAUUGACGCUCAGGGACGAAAGCGUGGGGAGCAAACAGGAUUAGAAACCCGUGUAGUCC